GAUGAACGCUGGCGGCGUGCCUAAUACAUGCAAGUCGAGCGAACAGAUAAGGAGCUUGCUCCUUUGACGUUAGCGGCGGACGGGUGAGUAACACGUGGAUAACCUACCUAUAAGACUGGGAUAACUUCGGGAAACCGGAGCUAAUACCGGAUAACAUAUUGAACCGCAUGGUUCAAUAGUGAAAGGCGGCCUUGCUGUCACUUAUAGAUGGAUCCGCGCCGUAUUAGCUAGUUGGUAAGGUAACGGCUUACCAAGGCAACGAUACGUAGCCGACCUGAGAGGGUGAUCGGCCACACUGGAACUGAGACACGGUCCAGACUCCUACGGGAGGCAGCAGUAGGGAAUCUUCCGCAAUGGGCGAAAGCCUGACGGAGCAACGCCGCGUGAGUGAUGAAGGUCUUCGGAUCGUAAAACUCUGUUAUCAGGGAAGAACAAAUGUGUAAGUAACUGUGCACAUCUUGACGGUACCUGAUCAGAAAGCCACGGCUAACUACGUG
This 497-nucleotide ribosomal RNA is filed under the name uncultured bacterium. RNAcentral describes it as "partial 16S ribosomal RNA". It matches the Rfam family "Bacterial small subunit ribosomal RNA", at positions 28 to 507 of the family's 1533-position model. The record is from RNAcentral.